RNAcentral lists this ribosomal RNA (605 nucleotides) under Micractinium inermum. RNAcentral describes it as "LSU rRNA". It matches the Rfam family "Eukaryotic large subunit ribosomal RNA", at positions 1 to 612 of the family's 3401-position model. Lineage: Eukaryota; Viridiplantae; Chlorophyta; Trebouxiophyceae; Chlorellales; Chlorellaceae. The record is from RNAcentral.
CGACCUGAGCUCAGGCAAGACUACCCGCUGAACUUAAGCAUAUCAAUAAGCGGAGGAAAAGAAACUAACUAGGAUGCCCUUAGUAACGGCGAGCGAACCGGGCAAAGCCCAACUUGAAAAUCUCCAGCCUCCGGCUGGCGAAUUGUAGUCUAUAGAAGUGCUCUCUGCCUCAGUCCGGCCCCAAGUCCCCUGGAAAGGGGCGUCAGAGAGGGUGAGAACCCCGUUGGGACUGGAUCCUGAGGCUCCACGAGACGCUUUCGAAGAGUCGGGUUGUUUGGGAAUGCAGCCCAAAGCAGGUGGUAAAUCCCAUCUAAGGCUAAAUACAGACGGGAGACCGAUAGCGAACAAGUACCGUGAGGGAAAGAUGAAAAGAACUUUGAAAAGAGAGUUAAAAAGUGCUUGAAAUUGUUGAGAGGGAAGUGAUUAGAUCCUACGGGUGCGCCCAGGCACACGUCUGCCUAACGGUUGGCUGAAUGCGCUGGGUGCUGGUCAGCAUGGGUUGACCGGGCGGGACAAACCCCGGGGGUUGUUACCUCGGCUAUGUCGCCUGGUCGAUCGAGGAAAGAAUGGCGCUCUCUGAGUCCUUCGGGAACUGCGUCAUCAAG